CGCCAGGCGAGGCUCCAGGACAUGCUAUGGCACCUCGAAGCAUGUAUGGAAGGGAUAUAUUUUAGAGUUUUUAGAUUGAGAUUUUAACAUGGGGGAUGAUUUAUCAUGGAGAUUGAGACCUCCAGGCUCCGUAGGACCAGAAGUGGAUAUUUCUGUAAGACUGCCAGUUGAUGAUGAUGAGAUGUUGGAGGGCAGGAGAGAAGAUGAAACCCCACUCAUCAAGCGGGCCGUGCCACACUUUCGGUAAGUACUUUAGAACAUGGCGC
Long non-coding RNA from Penaeus monodon (black tiger shrimp), 266 nucleotides. RefSeq lists it as uncharacterized. The transcript is spliced from 3 exons. Lineage: Eukaryota; Metazoa; Arthropoda; Malacostraca; Decapoda; Penaeidae. The record is from RefSeq and is a predicted model, not a curated record.